AGUUUUCAGCUGGUAUGUUUCAUUAAAAUUUACCUGUACAGGUAACUCAGGUUUCUUUUAAAUUGACAUUUCACCUUUUUUGAAAAUGUAGAAUAAAAUAUUGUUUUAGUCUGUUUAAUUUAUUAUUUGUUUUUUUGUUUUAAUGUUAUUUAAAAAUUUUAUUUUUGUUGUUUCUUUUCAUUUUUGUAUGGGUUUUUUUCAUUACUUUUUUGUUUCUUAUUCUUUUAAUUUCUUCUUGGUAAGAAUCUUGAGUGCAAUUUUUUUCAUUCCUCAAGAAGGUGCAAAAA
This 287-nucleotide long non-coding RNA is filed under the name Mytilus galloprovincialis (Mediterranean mussel). Lineage: Eukaryota; Metazoa; Mollusca; Bivalvia; Mytilida; Mytilidae. The record is from RNAcentral.